Molecule: ribosomal RNA, 371 nt
Filed under: uncultured bacterium
Lineage: Bacteria
Description: bacterial SSU rRNA
Rfam family: Bacterial small subunit ribosomal RNA
Source: RNAcentral
GGGGGGUGCGAGCGUUGUCCGGAAUCACUGGGCGUAAAGGGCGCGUAGGUGGCGUGAUAAGGGUGUGGUGAAAGCCCGGGGCUCAACCCCGGGUCGGCCAUGCCGACUGUCAGGCUAGAGUACUGUAGGGGCAGGCGGAAUUCCGGGUGUAGCGGUGGAAUGCGUAGAGAUCCGGAGGAAGACCGGUGGCGAGGGCGGCCUGCUGGGCAGUUACUGACACUGAGGCGCGACAGCGUGGGGAGCAAACAGGAUUAGAUACCCUGGUAGUCCACGCCGUAAACGAUGGGUACUAGGUGCCUGGGGGAGCGACCCCUUGGGUGCCGGCGCUAACGCAGGAAGUACCCCGCCUGGGGAGUACGGCCGCAAGGCUG